This 254-nucleotide ribosomal RNA is filed under the name uncultured prokaryote. RNAcentral's name for it is "partial 16S ribosomal RNA". It matches the Rfam family "Bacterial small subunit ribosomal RNA", at positions 524 to 776 of the family's 1533-position model. The record is from RNAcentral.
UACGUAGGUGGCAAGCGUUGUCCGGAUUUACUGGGUGUAAAGGGCGUGUAGCCGGGAAGGCAAGUCAGAUGUGAAAUCUGGAGGCUCAACCUCCAAACUGCAUUUGAAACUGCUUUUCUUGAGUAUCGGAGAGGUAAUCGGAAUUCCUUGUGUAGCGGUGAAAUGCGUAGAUAUAAGGAAGAACACCAGUGGCGAAGGCGGAUUACUGGACGACAACUGACGUUGAUGCGCGAAAGCGUGGGGUAGCGAACCGG